Molecule: transfer RNA, 64 nt
Filed under: Parahaemophilus parainfluenzae
Lineage: Bacteria; Pseudomonadati; Pseudomonadota; Gammaproteobacteria; Pasteurellales; Pasteurellaceae
Description: Haemophilus parainfluenzae tRNA
Rfam family: tRNA
About the family: Transfer RNA (tRNA) molecules are approximately 80 nucleotides in length. Their secondary structure includes four short double-helical elements and three loops (D, anti-codon, and T loops).
Source: RNAcentral
UUAGCUCAGUCGGUAGAGCAGCGGACUUUUAAUCCGUUGGUCGAAGGUUCGAAUCCUUCACGAC